CUUGCAAUACAUGUUCUGCAUGAACAUUGUCAGCAAGUUACCAUGUAGCUGUUCAAUAAAGUGGACAAAAAUGUGGCCAGAGCUGCACCUGCAGUUUAUGACAAAAGGUUCAGAUUGAAGUUGUUGUUCUGUAAAGGACACAGACCAGAUUAUCCCUGUGUAAGAAGGAUCAGAUGACAGGGUGUUUUUGACAUUGAGGUCAUCUUUACAAUGGACCAGAUCAGCAAUCUGAUGGUUAGCUUCAAUGAACACGAGCAACAGUCAUAGUAUUCUCUAUUCUCUAAUCAUACUGUAUUUGAAAACCAUGAAAAAAUAGAAAAUAAAAAUGGAAACCAUCUGAGAAUGCUGGGUUUUAUGGCUUCUAACUUGGCAUAUUGAAUUCAAGAGUUUCUUUUUUUAAAAGAAGGCACCUGUUUUUUGUCUCAUCACUUCCAUUUUAUCUUCAUUUUGUCACAGUGGAGUAGAGAGAGAAAGAUGUCAGCCAGAUGGAUUUAUUUGCAUUUAUACACUGCAUCAGAUUUUAUGGAAUUCCUUUAUCAGAUUUGACUGAAUUCUUUGUAGAAAGCUCUCACUAUCUGAUAAUGGCAAUACACAGUAUUGUUUGCUUUGAUCAUACAUAGAAUGACACAUGAUACACUGGUAUUUUUAAAAAUGGAACCCUGGUAUUUUGUAUAUAUAGAAAUGUACUUUUAUAUUCUAUAAUUGGCUUUUGCAACUUGUAAAGAAAGCGAUUACAGAGUACUCAGUUGGGGUUGUUGGAUUAGAAUUGGAUGACCAGUAAUAAUACUGGCUAAUUGUAUGACCUAUGGACAUUUACUUGUAUACUAUUAGUAACAGAUGUAAUCAUAUUAUUCUGAAUUGCGUAGUGCAUGGUUAUAUCCAAAGAUGGAAUGUAUAUAAUUAUUGCAUUUCAGCCACAUUAUAUUACCAUAAAAGAUUGUGUUAUGCAACUCAUUCAAUGUAGGAUUAAAUAUUCAUUGUAUGUAUUAUCACUUUACAAAGUCUUUAGAAUAUGCUGUAUAUUAUAUUGUUCUGUGUUUUGACCUACCGUAGGUAGUGGAGCAUUGUUCACAUUUUGUAUUAUCAAAUAUUUCACAGGAAUGUAAGGUGCUAAAUUAUGCUAACUAUAGAAGGCCCCAUCUGGACUUUCACAAAGUAUGAUGUACCCGGUGAGAUUAAACAGAGAACAGGUUAUCAGUUAUAAGUACUUGCUGACUUUAAUGACACAGAUAAUUAUAUUAUUGAUCUGUCUCUCUGAACAGUGGUCAACUUGUUACCAGCUUUUAAUAAGAUGAUAUUGAUUGGCCUGGUGGUCAGCCUUCUGUCUCAAUGAUAUUUGACAGAGUUUAUCAUGAUUAAUGAGGAGAUCUCAUGAUAUGUAGACAAUGAAAUCCUCACUGCCACCUGUGUGUCUGUGGAUGGUGACUUUUAACAACAGAAAUAAGCCACAAGUGUGGCAGGCAUAUCCAGGUCACAUACAGACUUUCCUAUGUAGUUUACAAAAGAAACAAAUUCACAGGGGUGGCUUAUGAUAUUCAGUGAAGCACAGUCACAUGCAAACUUUUCCUAUUUAAAAAGAAGAUGUAAUCAUGAUAGGCUUGUUGUCUGGAGACCUUCUUUUUGACGGUGUUAUUCCGAUUGGGUGAUGUUAUGAUUUACACUUUACACAGGUAGCAUUCACUAAACCUGUGAGACGUCUGGCCCACAGUCAUUCAGUGUGAUUUAAUGUCUUGGAAAAAGUUUUGGCUGAUAUUCACCAAGAAUUAGUUUACACUCACUUAAAAUAGUAUGUAGGUGAAAAAUGCUAAAAUUGUCAUGUGACAACUUCGUUUAUUUUAAAGAAAAGUUAAAUAUAUUUAGGAGUAUGGCAUCACCAUAGCCUUUCAAUGAAUUUUUUUUAUCGUAUCAAUGGUAGGAGAUUUAAACUAAAUUUUGUUCAGUCAAGCUUGAAUAUGUACUAUCUUCACAGGAAGGAAAAGCAAGAUAAUUUUUAUCUGAAAAGCUCUUGAGGUCGGACUUAUUCCUUGUUCCUAUAGUCGUGAAAGUGGAUAAGGUGCAUAAGAUGGGACACAAAUUUUGUCUAUUUCGGGAUGUAUGUUAUAGCGCUGCUUCACAUCAAUGAUGAACCCCAUUAUGCAAAAAUUAUAGGAAGAAAAGGUUGUAUCAUAGACUUGACACCAGUAUUGUGAAUAUCAUAGCUGGUACAAACUUAAAUCUUGGUAUAGACAGAGACAUUGCAGUAUGUAGUCCUUGUCAAAACAAAUGUGUUAGUAAUACUGGGCUUCAAACUAGCAACCUUUUGAUUGUUAGCUUUUACCUUGUGAGCUACUUAGCCACCCUUUCUACUUAGAUCACAUUACCAGAGCAAAUUAUUCAAUAGGUGAUUAUAAUGUCAGUUUAAUAGAUUAUUGAGAUUCUCAUUCAACAGAUGUUUCUUAAAAUUGUCCAAAACAGUUGACAAGUAUUGGAAAUCAAUUUGUAUCUUAUGGUUUUUGUAAAGUGAUACAGCUUAUAAUAUUUCUUUUGUAUCAGUCUUUCUGUAUGUAUUGAUUAACUAUAAUGAUGUCCAAUUUGUUAAGCAUUUUUCCUAUUAAGAUCCCAUAGUCCAGCCACAUGCUAAGAAAUAGCACACUUGUAGCUAUAAUUCACCCUGAAGCACUACUGGAAUCUAACUCCCAGAUAGUAUCAGCUGAUUCCAUGACUAUAUUCUGAAAUAGCUGGAUUAUUUAGUAUUUAUUGAAGCAAUUAAAUCAGCAUGGGGAAUUGAAUGGUGUAUGAGUUUUAAAUGGUUCUAUCCAGUGGUGCAUGUGAACUGUCAAUAUUUACAAGUGUGGUUUGCUCAAUUGUACAGAAAAUGAUUUGUUGGUCUCAAUAGGAGUGCUUAAGGCAUUUCAGUGAUGAUGAUUUAGUACAAUUUAAUGUCAUUUUCCAAUUAAUGUGGACAUGGGAGCUAUAAAGAAGUGAUGAUUAAUGUUUAGGAUACCUGUGUAUCUUGCAAAAAGUCAAUGUAGAUUUAUAAAUUUUUCAAUACUAAGUAGUCAGGCGUUGAAAAUACUUUUAAUAUUGAUUAGAAAUAUGAGAAAAUAUAGUGUAUUCCAGGUGUGUGGUUUCAUUUUAAGCAUACUGUAAUUUCAGUAUUAAAUGCGAUAUCCGCAUUAAGAAUCUAUAGUGCCUGAUAAUGACUGACCUCUUUAAAUACAAAUAUCAGUAGUAUAUAUAUUCCUCAUCCUUUUGAACAUUCUAAUAUGGCCAGAUAGCUCAGUGGGUUAACAUGUGAGGCAAUCAAUUGGUAGGUUGUGGGGAGAGUCUUACAGAAGUUUAAAUUUUUUUUCCAGGUGACUUUUUAUUAAAACUGUAUUUUUUCACUCAACAAGGUAAAUUUGAAAGUUUUCAAUUCCAAAUCAGUGUGGUAUUUCUCUGGUGUGUUAUUAGCUCAAGUGAGGUUUUCUGAUCACCUGUAGUCCCAGACAAUGUUCAUCCAUCUGUUUGUAAAUGUGAUACAUUUUUUACUUCUUCUCUAGAACCAUUGGGUUAAUUUCAACCAAACUUGGUACAGAGCAUCCUUGGGUAAAGGGAAUUCAAAAUUGCUCAAAUGAAGGGUCAUACCCCCUUCCAAGGGGGAGAUAAUCAAGAAAAAAUAGCAUGGGGUCAUUUAAAAAUCUUUUUCAAGAAUCACUGAGCUAGAAAAGAUGAAACUUCUGUGAAAGCUUCCAGACAUAAAUGUAGAUUCUAAAUUAAGGCCUGGCAUUAUAUUGCUAGGAUAAAUAAACAUGACUGAAGAAGACUGGUAACAUGGUUGAAAUAUAUCAAGAAGUGUUCAGAAAACUGAAAGCUCAUUAGUGAGCUAUUCUGAUCAACGGUUGUCCGUCUGUCUGGAAACUUUUCACAUUUUCAUCCUCUCCUUCAGAACUACUAGUCUUGGCUAAUUUCAGUCACACUUGGUACACACUAUCCAUGGGUGAAUUAGGGGAUUCAAGUUUGUUCAAAUGAAGGGUCAUGUCCUUUUCAAAGGGGAGAUAAUCACGAAAAUGCAAAAAUAGGGUUUGGACAUCUUUUCAAGAACCACUGGGCCAGAAAAGUUGAAAUUUACAUGAAAGCUUCCUGACAUAGUGCAAAUUCAAGUUUGUUCAAAUCAAAUAGCCCCUUGGGGUAGGGUGGGGCCACAAUAGGGGAUCAAAGUUUUACAUAGAAAUAUAUAGGGAAAA
Long non-coding RNA from Ostrea edulis (European flat oyster), 4205 nucleotides. RefSeq lists it as uncharacterized. The record is from RefSeq and is a predicted model, not a curated record. Lineage: Eukaryota; Metazoa; Mollusca; Bivalvia; Ostreida; Ostreidae. The transcript is spliced from 2 exons.